This 626-nucleotide ribosomal RNA is filed under the name Sphenophryne cornuta. RNAcentral's name for it is "partial 12S ribosomal RNA". The stretch from base 1 to 460 matches the Rfam family "Bacterial small subunit ribosomal RNA", at positions 873 to 1533 of the family's 1533-position model. Lineage: Eukaryota; Metazoa; Chordata; Amphibia; Anura; Microhylidae. The record is from RNAcentral.
GCUGGAAUUACGAGCCCAAACUUAAACCCAAGACUGACGGUGUCCCAUCCCCCUAGAGGAGCCUGUUCUAUAAUCGAUUCUCCCCGAUCCACCUCACCGCCCCUUGAACACCCAGUCUGUAUACCUCCGUCGCAAGCUUACCAUGUGAGCGCUUAAUUAGUGAGCCCAAAAAUCUAACACUCACACGUCAGGUCAAGGUGCAGCCCACGGGGCGGAAAGAAAUGGGCUACAAUCUCUACCCUAGAACAAACGGAAACCUGUAUGCAAUACAGUUACUAAGGCGGAUUUAGAAGUAAAAAGAAAUUAGAGAGUUCUUUUUAAUUGGGCCCUGGGACGCGUACACACCGCCCGUCACCCUCUUCAAAUUUAAACACAUGUCACUAACACCAAAAACCCCAACAGAAGAGGCAAGUCGUAACACGGUAAGCGUACUGGAAAGUGCGCUUGGAAUAACAAAAUGUAACUUAACAAAAGUGCCUUGCUUACACCAAGAACAUACCCGUGAAACCCGGAUCAUUUUGAGUCUAAAACCUAGCCCUACCUGCCCUCAAUAAAAAUACUACACUAACCAACAUAAUUAAAACAUUCUCUCAGCCAAGUAAAGGCGAUUAAAAAGCACCUAGGAG